GUGAGGAAUAUUGGUCAAUGGGCGGGAGCCUGAACCAGCCAAGUCGCGUGAAGGAAGAAGGAUCUAUGGUUCGUAAACUUCUUUUGCAGGGGAAUAAAGUGCAGGACGUGUCCUGUUUUGUAUGUACCCUGAGAAUAAGGAUCGGCUAACUCCGUGCCAGCAGCCGCGGUAAUACGGAGGAUCCGAGCGUUAUCCGGAUUUAUUGGGUUUAAAGGGUGCGUAGGUGGUUUGAUAAGUCAGCGGUGAAAGUUUGCAGCUUAACUGUAAAAAUGCCGUUGAAACUGUCGGACUUGAGUGUAAAUGAGGUAGGCGGAAUGCGUGGUGUAGCGGUGAAAUGCAUAGAUAUCACGCAGAACUCCGAUUGCGAAGGCAGCUUACUAAGCUACAACUGACACUGAAGCACGAAAGCGUGGGGAUCAAACAGGAUUAGAUACCCGUGUAGUCA
RNAcentral lists this ribosomal RNA (445 nucleotides) under uncultured bacterium. RNAcentral's name for it is "partial 16S ribosomal RNA". It matches the Rfam family "Bacterial small subunit ribosomal RNA", at positions 354 to 796 of the family's 1533-position model. The record is from RNAcentral.